AGGGUUCUGUGGACUUGCUCUGCGUUUGCCAGAGGAUUAGGAAACGUGUCAAUGUGAGGGGUGGCAGCAGCCCUGGAGCUGCCGUGUGGGGACCCACAGUUGGUAUUUUUCCCUCUCCACCCUGGUCUUCUCCUGUAACGUGUGGCCGCCUUUUCCAGCACGGCCUCCUGCCUUCCUGGUGCACUUUUUGGAGAACGUGGUGGAAUCAGAGGUUUCUGGCUGACUCGGUGG
This 231-nucleotide long non-coding RNA is filed under the name Homo sapiens (human). RNAcentral describes it as "long intergenic non-protein coding RNA 511". Lineage: Eukaryota; Metazoa; Chordata; Mammalia; Primates; Hominidae. The record is from RNAcentral.